CAAAACCGCGAGGUAGAGCAAAACCCUAAAAGCGGUCUCAGUUCGGAUCGCAGGCUGCAACUCGCCUGCGUGAAGUUGGAAUUGCUAGUAAUCGCGGAUCAGCAUGCCGCGGUGAAUACGUUCCCGGGCCUUGUACACACCGCCCGUCACACCAUGGGAGCCGGUAAUACCCGAAGUCAGUAGCUUAACCGCAAGGGGAGCGCUGCCGAAGGUAGGAUUGGCGACUGGGGUGAAGUCGUAACAAGGUAUC
RNAcentral lists this ribosomal RNA (250 nucleotides) under uncultured bacterium. RNAcentral's name for it is "partial 16S ribosomal RNA". It matches the Rfam family "Bacterial small subunit ribosomal RNA", at positions 1250 to 1500 of the family's 1533-position model. The record is from RNAcentral.